AUGGAGUAGCAGCCAAUUGUCUCUGCACUGGAUGUGCGCAUGGAGCCGAUCACCGUCGAUAUACUCUUCUCCAUGGUGGCCAACUUCGACCAGAGGGUCGAGAUGUUCCAUGGGAACGGCAGCAGCGCCUUCAAGUCGUCAGCGAACAUCGCCUCUCGCGGCCGGCAAGGAGGCAACAGGGGCAACUAUCCCAACCAGAAG
Molecule: ribosomal RNA, 201 nt
Filed under: Triticum aestivum (bread wheat)
Lineage: Eukaryota; Viridiplantae; Streptophyta; Magnoliopsida; Poales; Poaceae
Description: partial small subunit ribosomal RNA
Source: RNAcentral